Artibeus jamaicensis (Jamaican fruit-eating bat) is the source of this 2663-nucleotide long non-coding RNA. RefSeq lists it as uncharacterized. NCBI's taxonomy places the organism in Eukaryota, Metazoa, Chordata, Mammalia, Chiroptera, Phyllostomidae. The record is from RefSeq and is a predicted model, not a curated record. The transcript has 5 exons.
UGUUCCCCAGCUGAUGUUUCAGUGAGCAGUUACUCUCUGUCCAAGGAAUCCCCAAAGGAUCCAGAAGACAACCUUAACAAGCCCCCCGUGGGCACAGCAGCUCCCUUCCAGAGGUGAUGACACUUAGCCUGGACUUGAGAAAAGAAUUAUACAGACAGGAAUUCAAGAUUAAACACCUCCAUAAAAAAGACUCUUCAAGUUCCCCACCAGCAAUGACAGCCUAGGCAUUUGAGUGACACAGAGGAAGCUGGAUCCCUUCAAGAUUUUGAAGACAUGACCUGAGGAGAGCAAGCAAAGUUUCAGAGCCUGGAAUAAGAAAGAGCUAAAGAAAAUUCAUGGAAGCAGUAAAGACAAGAUGCGAAGGAGGAAAGGAAGAAGAGGAGAAAUGAGAGAUACACAGAGGAGGAAACUGAGGCUCAGAGAAAUCUGGAGACCCUCCAAACAUGGCACAUAAAAACUAUUCUUCGACCACAACAAAAUCUCAGUAGGUUGAAACCUACUGCAUGAACAAAAGAAGAGAGAGGAAGCAGUCUCGCUGGUGGAGGUGGAGACAGCAGGCCGAGGCCCUUGCUCCUGCCACUUCGCUCCUGCCACUUCGCUCCAAGGUGGAGCGCCAGCCCUUAAGGACACAACUUGCUGGAAUCGAAAGCAUCACAUCCUGAAUUCAACAAGGGUCUUCCCACCGCACAGCACUGCCAGCCUCUGCUACCCUCGGAACACAAUGCAACCCUCACCCCGAAACUUGGCCUAAGACCAACUGCAACUGUUUUUCCGCCCAUAUCCAACACUCUUCACUCUCUGUGAGUCAGUCGCAGGCCUUACAGAACAGAGAAAAUAACACCUAAUAUAUAUAAAUAAUUCAAGGCUGAGUUUAUUCACGAUGCCGUGCUUUCUCCAGGCAGUGGUUCCUGUAACCUCUCUACCGGCUGGGCCGCCUCCAUAGCAUUUAUUACUGCAGACAAACCGUUAGAAGCUGUUCUGAUUUACGCAUCUACAUUCUGUUAAGGGGGAAAGUUCAUAGCACACUGCAGUUCCUGCUGCUGGCAUCGUGAGAGAAAAAAGAAAAAGACUAGAGAAAAGAAUGGGGAAUAGUCACUCUGCUGGUCUAAGGGGAGCGAGAGAAAUUAGUCUUUUAUGAAAUAUUUAAUUAUUUAUCUGGUGCACACUCUCACUCUCAUACACACACUCACCCAUAUACCUAUACCAGGUAAAAUAAUGUUUUUCAAACAUCUAUCAAGUGCCAACUUACUCUUCUAGGCGAUUGGGAUACACUUCUGAACACACUAGACAGAAUCCCUGCUCUCAUAACAUAGUCCAGUUCUUACCAACAUGCCCGUGGUGACAAUGACACUGCCACCAUCUUUGUCUCUGCAACAGUGUUGCUGCAGGAUUGCCACUUAGCAGACACUCUAUGGCUGCUGAAUGUAUGAGUGAAUCCAACGUGUGGAAUAAAAUAACGUUCCCAACCCAGGGUGCUUUUCCCCUCUCUCUCUUCACCGUCAGGCUCAAUAAGAAAAGCCACAUAAAAGCUCACGUGACACUGAGAUGUGGGUCUGGAUGGCUCUGCUCAUCUUGGCUUGGCUCACUCACACAGCUGGGAGCGGGCUGGCUGUCCACCGGCCAGGUCAGCCUCCGUUGGGAUAAAUGGUGCCUCUCCUCCUCCAUAAAGCAGCAGCAUGACUUUAUGGUCAUUGCAGAAGAAUAGAAAGCAAGCUGAAACAUACAGGCCUUCUCAAGUGUAAUGUUGGUGCUGAGAAACCAUUACUUCUUAGGGAUUUCAUCGGCUGAAGGAAGUCAGAAGGUGAGCCAGACUCAAGCAGUACAAGAUACCAUCUUUAGGGAAAGGAUCUAAAAAGUCACCGAGUAAAGGACAAGGCUAAAAGGGGAGAAGAAUUGAAGCCACCAUUGCAAUAUUUCACAGGCACCCAGCAAAUCAGCAAAAAUCUGUGACGGGAGCCAACCUCUUCAGUGAAGGGUGCUGUCCUUUCCAGUAGCAAGCAGGCACAUUCCCACCCAGGCUCCCUGGGGAGUUUAGGGAGAAAGUAUACAUAUGUCUGAAAAUCGUUCAGUGUGUCUUGAGUGUCCUCCUGCAAGAGCAGGAGGACAAGGUCCCUGAUCCUGACCUGAGCCACACAUAGGGUUGGCACUUGCCUCUGACCCCCUCUCCAAUCUCUUGCUAGAUCUUUUCUCUCCCUUCUUAUCCCAUAACCUUAGGAGACAGGAUGUGCUUACAGUUCAAUAACAGGACAUCAUUUUAUUUUUUAAAUAUAGUUUAUUUAUUAUGCUAUUACAGUUGUCCCAUUUCCCCCUUCACUCCCCUCCACCCUGCACACCCUCUCCCACCCACAUUCCCCCACUUUAGUUCAUGUCCAUGUAUCAUACUUCCAAGUUCUUUAGCUUCUACAUUUUCCAUACUAUUCUUGCCCUCCCCCUGUUUAUUUUCUACCUACCAUCUAUGCCACUUAUUCUCUGUACCUUUUCCCCCCUCUCUCCUCCUCCCACUCCCCUGUUGCUAACCCUCCAUGUGAUCUUCAUUUCUAUGGUUCUGUUCCAGUUCUACUUGUUUAUUUAUUUUGUCUUUCUUUUUGUUUUAGGUGUGGUUGCUAAUAAUUGUGAGUUUGGUGUCAUUUUACUUUACAUGUUUUUUACCUUUUUUUUAGAUA